AGGGAAUGUGAGAGUCCACUCACAGCCUGGCUUCCUAUGAGCUUUGCGGAAGCUUUGGGAUCUGCAACAGAAUUCUCUGCAUCCUCAGGUUAUCCUGGUCAUCCAGGGCUGCAGGAUUUGGCCCAUGGUCAGUCAAGGUGCGACAGCUGCUGCAGUCUUACAUGGUGAGUCCUGCAGCCUCUCUCGAAACUGCUCUGCCAUGUUCUGCAGGGCAGGCUCACUGGUUGAGAACCUGGCAGAAGAGAGACCCUGGAGUAGAGAAGGAAAAUGUCCUCACCAGCUACAGCCGGCAGGAGCAGGAAAGGCUGGGUUUGUUUUUAAACGUCUCUCCCUGCUCAAGCCUUUAAUCAUUGCUGUGUCUCUUCUCUGAACCCUCUGCAAUUUAUCAGGGAAAACAAACAAACAAGCAAACAAACCAAACCAGGCUCUUCUAACUGAUGUAACAAUCUGUUGCCUUGCAAGGUUUAAUAUAAAUCAGAUCAUUCCAUUCACCCAAGAGUUCAACUUUAAGGGCUUUUGGUUAACUGACCACCUAGUCACUUAACAUUAACCAGUUCAAAAAGCUGGCAGGUCAAAUUAGUCUUUCCUCCCAAAUCAAAAUGAAAAAAUAAAUCAGUGAAAGAAAAUAACCUAAAGCACCUUUGUUGCUUUUCACAACGGCCUGGGGGAACACACAAGGGAAAAUGCUUCUCUCUCCUGACACUGAGUAACAUUUCUGUCUGUCCUUGAGAUCCUGUCACAGGGACAAGGGCUGAGGAUGCAAAUGACAUGUUGAGGCUACAUUGGUUUGUACAUUCAUUCACUCCUUCAUUAGUGAUAAGGGUGCAUGAGCUUGAACUAAUCCAGCUCUGACUUUCACAUCUUAGGCUAUUUCCAAGGCUCGCAGUUACAAAAAACUUUUAUUUCUAACCUGAGCAAGUUGAAUCUGGAGUCACUGAGAUGAUAAAGAUAGAGCCUUGCUAAGAAGUGUCUGUCCAGAUGCAGUUCCCUCUGUAUUCUCCCCAGUUUAUGAACUCCUCUUCAUUAUAUGGGCCACUGAACCUAAUGAGUGUGGAUGGUCCCAGUACUUAGGCUCCAGCCCAAGUAAGAAUUUCUACACUGCAAUUAAACAGCCCCAGAGCUUGAGCCUGGACAAACCCAAAUCAGAUGGCCUGGGCCAGCUGUGAGUUUUUAAUUGUACUGUAGAUAUACCCUUGGUGUCAAAAUCCCAGCUUUCUCACCAGGGAAUCAAGCCCUAGUCCCCCAUGUGACGAUACUCACCACCUCUACUCAUGCGGCAAGAACUGACAGCUGCCCUGCAUGGGGACGUAGGGGAACAUCCUGGGCAGCUCCUUGGACCGCUGUAGCUGUCAGGAGACCCAGCUAGGCAGGAGCUGCUCUGGGUUCUAUGCAGGGGGAAAUUAACUGGUCUGCUGACUCUCAAUUGCCUGCCUACCCUGUCAAUCAGGCUGACCUGGAGCUUUGGCCUCUCCCCAUUGCCCCUGGGGACUGUCAGUCUCAGGGUCCUGAUUUCCCAUUAACCCUUCCCCUUUCUUUUGGUAUUGGAACUAGCCAACCAAAAAACCCCACUAAGUUUUAGUAAGGGGCCAACAGUCCCCUGACACAAGCCAUCCCCGUGAGGGUCACAGAUGUCCACAGAAGACAACAUAAGCUGGUUCUAUGGUGUAACGGUUAGCACUCCGGACUCUGAAUCCUGCAAUUUAAGCUCAAAUCUCAGUGGGACCUUGUGUUGGCUUGCAGCAAAGUUCAAAGUGCUCACCUUUCCUGUCUCCACUUGUGCAAGGGCAAGUCUUUUCCCUCUGUGCUUGGUGACAUGCCCAAUGGAGCCAGGUCUUUGGUCUGGAUGGCUUGACAGGAUGGCUGCAAUGGGUUGGGGCUCUAGAACUUGACACCCUUGCUAUCUUUGCCUGCAGGCCUGCAUUAUGGCCUGAUGGAUGGGAUUCUCGCUGCUUCACCUGAUGCCCAAAAGUCUGGCCCUUGUACUUGCUGCCACACUUUUCCUCUUGCCCACAUGACACUUAAAGAAAGGAGUGCCAGGGCCAGGGUUAAUAGUCAGGGCUAGGCAGGAGGGAGGAAGAGUCCCAGGCUGGAGCCCAGCACACCUCUCCUCCACUGGGCACCUAGAGCAGAGGUGGCAGAUGCUGACAGCUCCAAGGGAAGGCUUAAAAGCCACAGAGCAACCAAGGGCGGGGCAAGAGGAGGGGAGGACCAUGCCUAUGCUGGCCAUGCCAAACACCCGCUGAAGGUCACCCACAGACCAGCAUGUGGGGCAGCUGCUGAUGCUCUGUGACCAACAUCAGAAGGCAGUAUGAAAGGAGGGCCAGCCCCCCUGGUGGGGCCUCUUACCGGUCCCAUGCAAGGUGCUCACUUUUGCAGUGGGGCAGGAGAUUUUUUUCCCCAAGAGGCUUUUUCCCAGCAGGUGAGAAGCAGAGAAACACCCAGGCUCCAAAGGCGCUAUUUGGCAAGCCCCCUCAAGCACAGGGUCAGGCGCAGAUUUGGAAGAGGGAAACUGCUCCACACACUAGGCCGGGCAUCCACCCAAUUUCUUUGGUAAAUCAGGAAUGGCAAAGGCUAGACUGGAAGAUCUAGGGCUCACACCCUAGCCUUUGUGAUGCCCUACCCACAACUCCUUUCUGGGACUCUAGCUGAAGCCAGAGCAUUGGCCUGAGCGGCCAAGAAGAGGCUCCAGCCCUGAAGAAAGCAGGACUUCCAGCACAAAGGGAAAACUGCACAAGCACGGCCCCAAAGAGACUCAACCUUCAAUCAUCUGAUCUGAAGUCAGACGCCUUAUCCUUUAGGCCAUGCGGUCACAGGAGAAAAACCUUUUCAAGCACUUAGAAAAGACGGACACUGUGUUUCUCAGGUCAUCUACUGGGGGUGCAGAGAGUCUCCGGGCACAAGAAGUCGAGUUUCCAGCGAGAUGUGAGACCUAAUUCUAUGGAGCCAGGUGCAGGACUUUGGCAGGGAGGCAUCAACAUGGGGGAUUAAGGUGCAGAGGAGGAAUCCUGCUGGUAGGCAGAGGCCGUGGA
Molecule: long non-coding RNA, 3029 nt
Organism: Chelonia mydas (Green sea turtle)
Lineage: Eukaryota; Metazoa; Chordata; Testudines; Cheloniidae
Exons: 2
Source: RefSeq, a predicted model, not a curated record